GAGGGUAUAGCUCAGUGGUAGAGCACAUGCUUAGCAUGCACAAGGUCCAGGGUAUAAUCCCCAGUACCUCCA
RNAcentral lists this transfer RNA (72 nucleotides) under Camelus bactrianus (Bactrian camel). It matches the Rfam family "tRNA". Rfam says of the family: Transfer RNA (tRNA) molecules are approximately 80 nucleotides in length. Their secondary structure includes four short double-helical elements and three loops (D, anti-codon, and T loops). The record is from Rfam by way of RNAcentral. RNAcentral also lists the same sequence under 2 other names. Lineage: Eukaryota; Metazoa; Chordata; Mammalia; Artiodactyla; Camelidae.